Molecule: long non-coding RNA, 1001 nt
Organism: Crotalus tigris (Tiger rattlesnake)
Lineage: Eukaryota; Metazoa; Chordata; Lepidosauria; Squamata; Viperidae
Exons: 2
Source: RefSeq, a predicted model, not a curated record
UGAGAAAUCCGAGGGGAACAAAAAUAAAUGGAGCAAAAAAAAGGAAGAAAAAAAAAAAGCCCAGGCAGAUGUGACAUGCUUCGCUGACAUUGCAAAGAAUCACAAGAGUUACAAGCAAGACACCUCUCUGUGGAGCCUUUGGUCGGUUGGGCAAAUCAAGAGUCCUUUGUGACUUGACGUAUCAUCUGUCAAGGUCAGGAAUUCAUCCAGAGGCCAUUCCUUGAAUAGGAGGAAGGAUGGAGAGCUCAGGAGCAACAACCGAGGAUCAAGCUGAGGAAUCAAAAUGGGAGCUGACCAUGAACUGAAGCCGAAGAUCAGGAGGAACACACAAAGGAAGUCCAGAAGAUCAGCAGAAGCCAGCCUCAUCUUCAAACCCAGUCCCUGCUUCCUUCUCCAGAUCAGAGGACGCUACCGCAGAAUCAGCAAUGACUCUGAGGCAAACUUGGGUGGGCUUUUUGGAUCUGCCAGGAAAAAUAAGGAAAUGUUUACUACUAAGGCAGGACUAAUGGCGAAGUGAUGUUUGAAGGAGCUUGAGCUGAAAACGGCGGAUGAGAGCUGUCCAAGCAACCUGCUACUUAACAUUGGCAGGAAAAAAAGAGAGAGAAAAAGGGGGGGGGGGAAACACCCUGGUCCUUUCCUCGCAUCAACAAAGAAGAUUAAAGGUUUUUACAUUGUUGGUUUAGCAAGAGAAAUGAGUGUUUGAGUUCCUUCUCCUUCAGCGUUCUCAUCCUGACUAGGCGAUAUUAACUAAUGUUUGUUUUGUGGGGCUAAAGUGAGGGCAGGAAAGGCAAUUUAUAGAGAAGAAAGAUCCGAAGAGGCCUCCGCUCGGCUUCGGAGGAAAGGUUUUUCAGCCAGGGAGGGAGGGAGGCUUCUCCUCCUCCUCCAGGGACAAAACAACGGGCGAGUAAACGCUCUAAUCCAGGGAAGAGGGAAAACAAGAAUAAAAAAAAAAAAUACAAGGCGGUUUGCUGAGGAAUUAUUUAGCAGAGGAGAGAGCCAGG